RNAcentral lists this transfer RNA (76 nucleotides) under Candidatus Niyogibacteria bacterium RIFCSPHIGHO2_01_FULL_45_28. RNAcentral's name for it is "tRNA-Thr". It matches the Rfam family "tRNA". From Rfam's summary of the family: Transfer RNA (tRNA) molecules are approximately 80 nucleotides in length. Their secondary structure includes four short double-helical elements and three loops (D, anti-codon, and T loops). The record is from RNAcentral. RNAcentral also lists the same sequence under 2 other names. Lineage: Bacteria; Candidatus Niyogiibacteriota.
GCCAACGUAGCUCAGUUGGUAGAGCAACUCCAUGGUAAGGAGUAGGUCGCCGGUUCAAAUCCGGCCGUUGGCUCAA